Molecule: non-coding RNA, 1116 nt
Organism: Electrophorus electricus (electric eel)
Lineage: Eukaryota; Metazoa; Chordata; Actinopteri; Gymnotiformes; Gymnotidae
Source: RefSeq, a predicted model, not a curated record
GCGUGCCGGCCAGUGUAAAACCACACGGCAACCACCAGCUACAUCACAACCAAGAUGGUCAUUAAUGGAAAAAUACUCCUGGGACCACUGCAGACUGGACCAUACUUAGAUGGAGACCCACUCUCCACAGUGACUGGUGAUAGGCGUCAUGCUGGUACGAGCGGAUCCGGCGCGGCAGCGACACCCCCGUGGUAACGUGUAGUGCUGGUAAAAGUAGCAGUUUAUUGCAUAAAAGGGGUGGAUGAGUGUAUAUUUGGUACAAGCAAUAUGAGAAGAGAUGGCUACACAUGCCAGAAAUGAAACCUGCCUUUCCCUCAUGUUGCUUUUAUAGUCAAGCCUUAAACACGAGCCUACUUACUUGGAUAGCAGUCUUUGGAAUACCACUCACAUUCCUGUACUUGAUUUACAUGUAUUAUUAUCUGUUUGUUUAAAUGUUGCAUUUAUAUAAGAUUCCAAGAUUGACUAUGCUCUGCACACAGCUGGAUAAAUGCAUGUGUUUUUUUAAAACCAACCCUCCUCAUGUCCCUGUACCUAACUUCACAGUGCAGAAAUGUAAACAAUUUAUGUGCCAUUAAAUAAUAUUUACUUGCAUGUAAAAAGACUACAGCAACAUCAUUUAUCUAUUAGUCUGACAUUUAUGCUUUGGAAAACAAGCACAGCCACCCCAGGGAAUCUUUUGAAAACAUUCAAAGGCGAUUAUGGCGCACGGAUGUGGGCAAAGUGUUUCUGUAAUGCAGAGCUGUAGAUAAGAACAUCUACCAACAUCUCCACCACUCAUUACAGCGAGACGCACACAUGAAUAGAAAGGAUGAGGGUGAAAUACAGGAAACACCUCCCAACGCUGGAGUCACAAACAUCAGAUAAGAAGCCCUUCGGGUAAUCAGAAUGACUUCGCAACAUUUGUUGUUAAUUCACCCUCAAUAAGCAGACUGUAAAUUAAUUGUUUGACACUCAAUUUUACUUUUUGUUUACAUUUACAUAUCAGAUGCAAGAGUCCAAACAGCACUGAAUCAGCAGUGCCUGUUGUAGGUACAGAACACUGAAACAAACUGUCCUGGUCCUUAUUCAAAAGAUUUUUUCACUAAACAUUGAUCUACAUAGCAUCAGUGGUGCCUG